GACGAACGCUGGCGGCGUGCUUAACACAUGCAAGUCGAACGGAAAGGCCCUGCUUUUGUGGGGUGCUCGAGUGGCGAACGGGUGAGUAACACGUGAGUAACCUGCCCUUGACUUUGGGAUAACUUAAGGAAACUGGGGCUAAUACCGGAUAGGAGCUCCUGCUGCAUGGUGGGGGGUGGAAAGUUUCGGCGGUUGGGGAUGGACUCGCGGCUUAUCAGCUUGUUGGUGGGGGAGUGGCUUACCAAGGCUUUGACGGGUAGCCGGCCUGAGAGGGUGACCGGCCACAUUGGGACUGAGAUACGGCCCAGACUCCUACGGGAGGCAGCAGUGGGGAAUAUUGCACCAUGGGCGGAAGCCUGAUGCAGCAACGCCGCGUGCGGGAUGACGGCCUUCGGGUUGUAAACCGCUUUCGCCUGUGACGAAGCGUGAGUGACGGUAAUGGGUAAAGAAGCACCGGCUAACUACGUG
This 468-nucleotide ribosomal RNA is filed under the name uncultured bacterium. RNAcentral's name for it is "partial 16S ribosomal RNA". It matches the Rfam family "Bacterial small subunit ribosomal RNA", at positions 28 to 507 of the family's 1533-position model. The record is from RNAcentral.